UACGUAGGGUGCAAGCGUUGUCCGGAAUUAUUGGGCGUAAAGAGCUCGUAGGCGGUCUGUCGUGCGUGUGAAAUCCCCGGAGCUCAACUCCGGGCCUGCAGUCGAUACGGGCAGACUGGAGUUCGGCAGGGGAGAUUGGAAUUCCUGGUGUAGCGGUGGAAUGCGCAGAUAUCAGGAGGAACACCGAUGGCGAAGGCAGAUCUCUGGGCCAUUACUGACGUGAGGAGCGAAAAGCGUGGGGGA
This 243-nucleotide ribosomal RNA is filed under the name uncultured bacterium. Its description in RNAcentral is "partial 16S ribosomal RNA". It matches the Rfam family "Bacterial small subunit ribosomal RNA", at positions 524 to 768 of the family's 1533-position model. The record is from RNAcentral.